Molecule: long non-coding RNA, 14159 nt
Filed under: Xyrichtys novacula (pearly razorfish)
Lineage: Eukaryota; Metazoa; Chordata; Actinopteri; Labriformes; Labridae
Source: RNAcentral
ACACAGUGAACAAAACAAGCUGAGUUGAUGUUUUUAACAUGUUUUAGUUCAAAUAAAGUUUUUAUUGUUUUCAAAUGACAUUGUGACAGUGAAAUUAAAUAAAAAAUGAUCUGGUGUAAAUGAAGCAUAAACAUACUGCUACGCAGACAGAGCACAGAUCUAUUGAUACUAGAUAAGCGAACUGUGAUGAGCUGUUCUGGCUUCUGAUUGGACCUUUACAGGUCAGCUGAUAGCAGAUACAGCCUCUAAUUGGUUUACAACAGAAAUGACACUUUGUUACUGAAAUUAAUCCAUAAAUCAUCAGAUUAUUUUCAUUUUGGAGGGAUGGGAUCAAGAAGGUCUCUGAAAACAAACCGAUCUUCUCUGUGGGAUAGAAAAGCUCUGGAGUGUCACAGAAACACAAACUUAUCUCCUGAAAGCUAACGGUCUCACAAAGCCAGUGGAUUUUACAGGAAGUCACUCCACUGUAGCAUCAAAUUUAUGAAGCUGAGAUUGUAAUCAACAACACUGAGUUUAUAAAACAGCAUCAACCGUAUUAAUGACUUCACCCUGAAUAGAUGCUGAUCACACUUUUUCCAGACUCGAGUCAAUCCGAUAAUUUUAGUCUGUCAGAGGAAAACGUCUCCAUCAUAAUAAACUAGAUCAAGUUUUCUUGUUAAAGAAUCUUUACUUUGACAAAUUAUAUUUCACACAUUUUACUUUUACAUUCAGGUCUCAUUUAUGGUUUAAUAAUUGUGUUUGUUCAUCCAAACAGGAGGGAAUUAAUUAUUGAUGAGUUCAAAGAUUAUAUGAGAACAAAAACAUGUAAAGAGAAAAAAAAUAAUGUCUAAUAAUAAAAACUAAGGUCAAUCCACCUCCAGUCAAUACUGAAAAUCAUUUCAGAAAUUUAAAAAGUAAACAGAUAAAUAAAUAUAAGCAAAUAAAAGAAUAAAGCUUCUGAUUUUUCUGAAACCCCAAACCCUGUCCUCCUCCCUUCACCUCCAUCUCUCCUCAGUUCUCUUCCUCUCCCUUCAGUUUAUAUCUGACGGUGCAAAGGAAAGAAUAACCUUUGGGUUUAAUCAGAACUUCUGACUGAUCUGCUGUCACACAUGGUAUCAACUACUGCUGCAGAAGUCUGUGGGAAUAAAUCAACUCCACCGCUUUAUAUUUCCACUAGGUGGCGCUGCAUCAUAGGCAAAAAAAAAGUAAUCCAAUCAGUGGGUGAAUGUAUGAUCAUGUUUCCAUCAACAAAACAAAUCUGUUCAGACUGUUUGAUCCCAGAAUAUGAGGGAAAAGAUCAAAUAUCCAGAGUCCAGGUCCUGAGCUGAUCUCAGAGCAGGUCAAAGUGCAGCUCCCACAAUCCUCUCCGCCCGCUGUGAUUGGUCAGUCAGUCUCUCAGUAACACGGCCCAGUCAGAGACUCACCUCACCCUCACUGCUGCUGCCUCCACCUCUCUGAUCGUCAGAAGACAGAUGAUCCUCUUCUUAAUCACUCUGACAGAUGUUAACUCCACCUGAGGAGAGAAAAACAGACGAUCAGUGUUUCCACUCUGAGACUCACUUCAUCAGCUGGACUGAAGAACAUCCAGUUUACAGACCAGCAGGUUCCAGUCCUGCUCAGACCAGAAGUGAUGGUGUACAGCAGCAGGUUUCCUCACAAAUAAACCAACAUCAUCAAAAUAAAGAAAUCCUUCCUGUCAAAUGUGUUAAAGCUGAAGUAACAAACCUGCUGUGAAAAGAACAAGUAUAAAGAACAGCUGUCUGUUUUCAAACUUAGAGCUCAAAAUCAACAAGUUAGCAGAGAAAUAAAGUCUGUGUUGAAUACAGAGAACUAUAAACUGGACUUCAGAGCAGAAACUGAACAUUUCUGUUUCAUUAUGUCUCAUUUCUACAUUUGAUCUGAAAUAUAGAGACGAGGAGACACUUUUUUCAUGACUGACACUCUUACACUCCUGGUUUGAUGAUUUCUGUUCUCACAGCUUCACUAAAGAAAGAAUCCUCUGAGAGGGUCGAAGAGUCAGCAGGAAAUACUGAAUAUCUGCUGUGAUACUGUGUGGAGAGGAACAGGAGAGAUCAGCACAGACUAACUCCAACUCUAUACUGACCCCAGAUCCUCCAGUCUGUAGUCUAGACUCUUCUGAAGAUCACGCAGCGGCUUCAGAUCUGAAUCCUGCAGAUUGUUUCCCAUCAGCCACAGAGUUUUCAGAUGGGAGGGGUUGGACUUCAGAGCUGAGGCCAGAGAAGAACAGCUGAUCUCUGUCAAACUGCAGCUCAUUAACCUAAAUAAAGAGGAAAUAAUGAGAUUUUAGAGAAAAAUGAUCCAGUUUGAAACCUGAUGUCUUAAAUCUGUAGAGUUCAGGGGAAAGGUUUGGAAAGUAUGAAUCAGAGAAAAGUGACGCUCCAAAGAGCUGAACCAAACAGGAAGUCAGUUUGAAACAGUGAAUUCAAAAACACAUGAAAUAGUGAAAAACAAACUCAGAGACUUUUUUACUGAUUGUAGAUGCAGAUCAAUAUUUUCAGAAAAUGUCAACGACUUCAGGACGGAUGGGAAAUAAAGGAUGUUCAGAAUAUUUUCACUUUGCUGAACCAAAAAUAUCACGUCUUUGAGAGGUAAAUAUUUCAGUCUUAACACAGCAAGGCUGCAGAAAAGUGCAGAUAAACCAGAAAAUUCAGAUUUUCACACAAAGAUUCAAAAACAAUCAAAAUUCAAAGUAACAGAGCUGGACUUUCAUCAGAGUCAGAAACUAAACUCUGAGUUUUUUCUAUUCCCUGAUCUUGUCCUGAACAAAAGUUUGAAUGGUUCUCGUCUGACAAAUCUCCCCCUGCUUCUGUUUUCUGUCUGAAUGUGCUUCUCACUGUGAACUCUACAAAGAGUUUUCUUCUUGGGUUCAGGUUUUAAUUCACUGGAGCUCAGCAGUGAUCGAACUGGAGUCAAUCAAAUAAUCCACUGAAGCAGAAAAUCUACUCUGGACUGAAGGUGUUCAGUCUGGGUCAGUAUUUCAGUCCUGAGUCAGCAGUUUAGUGUCAUCAUCACAAACAAAUCAUGAUCAUGUUUGAAUGGAGGAAAAAAGUCUGACCCCAGACUCUCCAGUUUACAGUUUGGACUCUGCAGAGAGUCACACAGCAGCUUCACUCCUGAAUCCUGCAGCUUGUUGUUACUCAGGUCCAGAUGUCUCAGAUGGGAGGGGUUGGACUUCAGAGCUGAGGCCAGAGAAGAACAGCUGAUCUCUGACAACCCGCACUCAUACAAUCUGAAAAAAGGAAAGAGAAUGUAGAUAAAAAUAAUUAAUAAUCAAACUUCAGGUGUUCAGGUUUAAAAUAUUGAGCUCAGAGAACUCCAACAGGAGACCUUUGGACCAGAUCCAGUCUGUCAGAGCUCAUGAUCUGGUCUGCUCUGACCCUCCAUGUAAAAUAACAGACAAGACAUCAAAUGUGAUGGAGCACUGGUUUGGAUUAGAGGUUCAGAUGUUCAGAAGGUGGAGUCCUUGUUGCAGCAGUUGCUGGUUGGACUCCCAUGAUCCUUUGCUGUAAGUCCUCCCUCACUCUCUACUCCACGUUUCCUGUUCCUCUUCAGCGCUCGGAUCAAUAAAAGUCUUCAAAAUGAACUUGAACUGUGACAUGGAGGAAACAGGAGGAUCUUUGUCACCUUUGUCACAUCACCUUUACUGCUUUACUCUUCUCCCUCACCUUCAUCAGGAUCAACAAGGUCAGACAGUGGACAGAUCCACUCUUCCUCUCACUCACAAAAACCAUCAAAUCUAAAGAGAUGAGGGAAAACUCUCAGACUGCUGAUUUGGUUGAUUAAAGAGACGCACAGACGUCAUGAAGUCUGAUCUAAUGGCUGCCACUGCUGUCUUUUUCUCAGGAGGUUUGGUUGAAUUCACUCCAGCAUGUCCUCUAGACAUGAAAACAUCAUCAACAUGAGUCAACUCUGCAUGAGCGGUGGACACCUGAAUUUUCCAACCACUUCAAAGUUUGUAUCCUGGACUGUUUGGAUGAAAUCUCUGCUAUCAGCUGAUUGUUGUUGUUGUUGUUGCUAAAGCAGCAUGUUGUGAGGAUGUGCUCACAGGGUCUGGUCUGUGCUGAGGAGUUAUACAGAGGGUUGAAAUGACGGAGCUCUGACAGCAAGGUCUCUGACUGAAGCUGCUGACUGAUGGGACUUUAACACACCUUUGUUGUUGACAAAGUUUCCUGUAUGAAAAAGAUGAGCUGUGUUCCUGAGCUGCAUGGAUAGUGAGUUCACUGCAUCAUUGAACAUUUAAAUGUUUUAGAGACCGAGGAAGUAAACCCGUCAACAUCACUGCAGUGAUCAUCUCAACCAUUUAUAAAAAAUCAUCAACAUUCAAUCAACAUAAUAACUCACAGUGCUCAUUUUCCUCCAUCUGUAUCUGACUGCUGAUUCAAUAAAAACUAUGAAUUUAUGUGAGUGAGAAGAAAGUUCUGGAAAUAUUCAGCAAGUCUGUGAACAUUUGAAUUGAGUUAAAAAAAAUGAUUAAACAUCAAAAUCUACACCAGAAACAAACAAAGACUAAACUUACCCCAGAGUCUAAGAAAUUAAUGUGAGAAAUCUCAAAGGUUUUUUUGUAGUCCUGAAUUCUUCAUGAAGAUGAAAACAGUCAGGAGUUUAUUCAGGGCUCUGUCCGUCUGCUGUCAACAACUGUCAAACUACUCUCAAAUAAACCAACAGAUCAUUGAUCAGAGAGGUUUUUAUGGACCAACUGGACAAGAUGAUGUUCAUGUUCAACAAACUGAAGUGAAAACUGCAGAAAAAUCUGGAUCUGGUUUUUACAUUUGAACACGACUGAGCAAAGAAGAAAUUCAAGUUUUCAAGAGUUUCCAAAUGAAAUAUCCAGAGUUGGAUUAACUUUGUUCUUCAGGUUUCAAUCUGCAGCUCAUCAUUUCUCUGACACUUCAUUCAUUCAUUAGUGAUCACAUUAACUGUGGAUCAGUUCAGUAUCAGCCUUUAGUCUGUGCUGCUCCUGCCCUCUACAAGCAUGUGUAAUAUUUGUGGGACUGAUUUUCUCCUGCUUCCUUUCUACAUCCAUCGUUCUACUCAAAGUCAACUCUGAAAUGUCAGAUUUUUCUUCCUGUGUUGAAGUUUAACAACGACAAAUUCAAACUGCUCGACCAAAGUUGAUGGAAAAACCACAGAGAAAAAUCUAAGGCAGCAGCUGUCACAUCUUAUUGUUAGAUCAGAAGGAAAUGGUGUCUCACAUCAGAAUCUUCAGUCUGCAGUUUAGACUCUCCAGUCCUGCAGAGAGAAGCUUCACUGCUGAAUCCUGCAGAUCAUUUCCGCUCAGGUUCAGAUGUCUCAGAUGGGAGGGGUUGGACUUCAGAGCUGAGGCCACAACUUCACAGUGAGUCUCUGAGAGUCCACAUUUAAUAAAUCUGUAACAACAUGAAUAUCAAACAAUAUUUCAUUGAAGGGUAAUUUGAUGUUUCUCUUCACCAAAAACAAACAUGAUCUUUGGUUUGACAGACGGCCUGUUUUCAACCAGACAGAUACUAAUAUCAGGACCAAUGAGAGAAGACAGGAAGUCAAAGUUUAGAAGAAAAAUAAAACUGUUCAGAUGUUCAAGACAAAUGACUCCAUGACUUAUUUUAGUCAUUCUGUUCUCUAACAGUGUUGUCUUCAUGUUAGUGCAGCUGGAUUAGGCCUGGACGAUAUAGAAAAAAAUCAUAUCGAUAAAAAAUAAAUCAUAUUGAUCGAUAUCGAUAAUUAUCGAUAUAAUUAUAAUUAUUUAACAUAUAUUUUAAUUGCAGCCCUGGAUGUUUUAUGCUAUUGCUUAAUGACCUACUUUUAAUAAAGAACACACAAGCACUGAAUUUAAAUUCAAACCUUUAUUCAACCACCUUUUUUAUUUUACCACAACUGAAAGUUUUUUUAAAAAGAACUAAAAAAAAAAGAAAUCAACUUAAGUGGCCUGAGUGACGUCAGUAAAUACUGACAAACAUAAAGACUUAAGUGACCAGAAAAUCUGAUAAAUAAAUAUUUAAAUAGUCUUUUGAUGAAAAUAAACAAAACAAACAAAUAUAUAAAUAAACAGAAUAGCUUUAGGUGGGAAUAGCAUACUACCAGGUUUAACUGUGUGGGAAACUGCCCACAACCUGGUGUCUGAACACUGAAAUAUUUCUCCCGGGGUCGGGAGAUUUAUUUUUUUUAAUUAUCAUGUGAUUGACUUAAUACACAAACUAAGCACGAGAAGCAGGACUUAUCCACGCUGGUGUUGUGUCGUAGAAUGCACCCCUGCCGAAUGCACCCCCUGCUAGUAGCCAUGAUCCAAAUACUCGCGUCUUUGUAAAAUAUGAGCUCAUUUUCUUCCACUUUAAGAAGCGAAUGAGUGGACGGGAUGCAGGGGUGCAUCCUACGGCAAACACCGGAACGUAUUUCCUCCGCACCCUUCUCACCUUUUCAACCCCUGACCCGUUUUCAUGCCUGAAGCGCUGUGUUUGAGAAAUACUUGCGGCCGGACACUUCAUAUCGCGGGUCGAGAGUGGCUAGAAGCUGGUCGAAAACCCGGCUUUUCAACGGUAGUUAUUAGCAGUAUGUCCCUCGCUAUGGAGCAUGUUACUGCAUGGGUGAUGUCCUUAUGUCGCUCGGACGCUUUGUCGUAUUUUGGCAAGAAACGAUGUCCAGUUUGGUCUGCUUCACAUGCUUUGUGCUGGUGCUGGCAGCGGUUCCAGAGGAUUCCGCCGACGAUGACGUGGAGCCGCGGCGCGGCCGACACAGCUCGUACUCCUGCGGGUGCGACCGGUUUAGAUGGUAAAACAAGUUGGUUGUGUUACCAGACUUGGUUUUUACUAAUUCUCUGCAAAUUUUGCAAACGACCGCUGUUCGCUUUUUGUCAGACUUCUAAAAACCAAAACACUGCCAUGCUGGUGAACUACUGAGACCUUUUUUCGGGACAAUUUCCUCCGCUUCUCCUUGCUGUAUCAUUUUUUCUAAUACACGUGCUGUCUGUUGUGGUUUGAUAGGGGCUGGGCUUGGUGCCGUAGCGUACCUGGGUCUGCGUUUGUGAUUGGUUGGGAGGAAGCAAUGACUGUAGUAAAAGCUACAUGAUAGGCUAUGAUGAAAAAGAAAGGGAAACUGUGUUUUUCUAUCGAACUUUUUAUCGACCCGUUUUUUUUCUAUCGCACCACACGUCUAUCGAUCGAUAUAUAUUGUUAUCGAAUUAUCGUCCAGCACUAAGCUGGAUCAUUAUGAUUGUGUGAAUUCUUGAGUUCUGGUUGGAGAAGGGGACUGAGAACCAGGUUUUUGGUCCUGGUAUGUGAUUGGUUAGUAUCCAAAGUACCUCUUGGAGAAUCAGUGCUCCUCUCAGUGUUUAAUGUUGACAUCCUGCUGUAAUGUAAGUCUGUCCAUAGACACUGACUGUUGACCAAUCAGAGGACGACUCACUAAAUCACAGCAGCAGCUCCUUUUUCUAUGAUUGGUUCAGAUCAAAUCGUUUUUCAGCAGGUUAGAGCUGGUUUGACUCUGAACAUUUGAAGAGUUGAAGAUUUCUUUGUUUUCACAGUCAAAGUUUUUUCUCCAUGUAACAUUCCCUUCACCAGCAGAAACAAGUUUAUGAAGCCUGAUGAAUCCAGAGAGACCUUUAAGAGACAGAUACAAAGACCCACUGAACCUCUGUAUUUGUUUCUCUCUCUCUCUCUCUCUCUCUCUCUCUCUCUCUCUCUCUCUCUCUCUCUCUCUCUCUCUCUCUCUCUCUCAUAUGAACUCUAGGGGGCGUACGUUCUCAUGACUCCUAUAAAAAUAACAGAUUGAAUUUUGCUCGUUUGUGUGUUUCAUUCAGAAAGAAACAUUUGGAGUCAGGAGAAAAAAAAGGAAAAACAGAUUCAUCUUUGAAGUGGUGGAAAAUGAUGUUAGUUUUCAUGGUUGUAUUGAUGAUGAAUAUUGAAUGAUGAACAUGAUGGUACAGAGACAGUUCUGCCACUGUGUAGAAAAUGAUCCACUUCUAUUUUCACCAUCAAUGCUGUCAACACCCUCAUUUACAACAGAUUCAUCAUUUCCAACCUGAAAACCAGCAGGAAGAAGCUGCAGACACCUUCUUCAAACUCAAGUUCACCACAACUGACUGAGAUGUUGAUCUGGACUGAUACCAUCAUCAGAAGACCUCUGUGUGUCCUCAGAUAUGGUCACUGAUUUGUCCUGAAAGUUCCACUUUAUUCAUUACAGACACGAUUCAAAACAAAGAGGUCCUCCACAAUCAGGACAAGUUCUCAGGGGUCCACAGGUAGACCUCAUCCUGGGCUAACAGGACUUCUGACACCAGGAUCAUGUUUUUGCUGAACCUAAAGAAACCCCCUCCCUGAUAUUUCAGCUGAUUUCUAUUUGAAGAAGAACAUCAUCAGUAACGUGGACAUUGGAAGAACUACAGGGAUCAUUUACACUAUUCUGAGAAUAAAACCUGGACUUACUCAGCCUUUCUGCAGUUCCUCACAGCUGGCAUCAGUCUCAGUCGUCCCUGGUCUGAUGUUUUAUACUUCUUAAAGUCCAACUCAUCCAGAACCUCCUCUGACAUCUGCAGCAUGUAGGCCAGAGCAGAGCAGUGGAUCAUUGAGAGUCUCCUCUCUGAUCUGUUCUCUGACUUCAGGAACUCUUGGAUCUCCUGAUGAACUGACAGAUCGUUCAUCUCCAUCAGACAGUGGAAGAUGUUGAUGCUUCUGUCAGGAGAGAUAUCUUUACUGUUCAUCUUCUUCAGGUUGUUGAUGACUCUUUGGAUCAUUAUUGGACUGUUGUCUGUGUGACCCAGCAGACCUCCUAAGAGUCUCUGGUUUGACUCCAGAGAGAGUCCAUGAAGGAAGCGAACAAUCAGGUCAAGGUGACCGUUUUUACUGAGAAGGGAUUUCUUCAUGGCACUGUUAAGGAAGAGAUUUAGGUUUUUAAAAUAUCCGGAAACCGUCUUUAAGUGAGACAUUUUGUCUUCGUCAUUGUUGCCUCUUAGGAAAGUCUUCAGAACUUCUGCGUUCCUGUUUGUGAAACUGUGGAUCAUGUAGACUGCAGCCAGAAACUCCUGAACGCUCAGAUGAACGAAACAGUAAACAGUUUUCUGGAAGAUCACACUCUCUCUUCUGAAGAUCUCUGUACAAACUCCUGAGUACACCGAGGCCUCUGAGACAUCCAGACCACACCGCUCCAGGUCUUCUUGGUAGAACAUGAUGUCUCCUUUCUCCAGAUGUUCAAAGGCCAGCCUCCCCAGCUUCAGGAGGACUUCACUGUCAGCCUCCGUCAGCUCCUGAGGACUUGUCUCAUGUCCUCCUUCAUACUUCUGCUUCUUCCUCUUAGUCUGGACCAGCAGGAAGUGUGAGUACAUGUCCGUCAGGGUCUUGGGCAGCUCUCCUCUCUGCUCUCUGCUCAUCAUGUCCUCCAGAACUGUCGCAGUGAUCCAGCAGAAGACCGGGAUCUGACACAUGAUGUGGAGGCUCCUGGAGGACUUGAUGUGUGAGAUGAUUCUUGUGGACAGAUCUUCAUCUCUGAACCUCUUCCUGAAGUACUCGUCCUUCUGGGCGUCAGUGAAGCCUCGUACUUCUGUUACCCUGUCCACACGUGAAGGAGAGAUCUGAUUGGCUGCUGCAGGUCGAGAAGUUAUCCAGAUGAGAGCUGAGGGGAGCAGGUUCCCCUUGAUGAGGUUUGUUAUCAGAACGUUCAGUGAAGACUUCUGUGUGACGUCAGACAGGACCUCAGAGUCUGUGAAAUCCAGAGACAGUCUGCUUUCAUCCAGACCGUCAAAGAUGAACAGAAGUUUACAGACAGCCAGCGUCUCUGCUGUGACCUUCUCUAGUGUUGGAUGGAAAACAUGGAGCAGACUCAGAAGACUGAAGCGCUCAUCUCUGAUCAGGUUCAGCUCCCUGAAUGAAAGCAGGACCACCAGAUGGAGGUCUUGGUUCUCCAAACCCUCUGCCCAGUCCAGAGUGAACUUCUGCACUGAGAAGGUUUUUCCAACACCAGCCACGCCGUUGGUCAGAACCACUCUGAUGACCUUCUUCUGUUGGUCAGGUAAGGUUUUAAAGAUCUCAUGACACUUGAUGGGCGUGUCAUGGAGGGUCUCCAUCUUUGAAGCUGUCUCCAGCUGUCUCACCUCAUGUUGUGUGUUCACCUCUUCACUCAGUCCCUGUGUGAUGUAGAGCUCAGUGAAGAUCCUGUUGAGGAGGGUUUGACUACUUCCUGUUUCAUCACUUCCUUCAUUCACACGUUCACAUCUCCUCUUCAGACUGAUCUUAUGUUCAUCUAAAACCUCCUGCAGACCGCCAUCUGCUGAAAGAGAAGAAAAAUCAAAUGAACCAAACUUCUCAACACGAAAACGUCUUUGUGAAAAUCAGUCAGCUGAGUUUUCAUCCACAGAGACUUUAGAGGACAGAUGUUCAGACUUACUUCCAUCAGAGCUGGACUGACUGUCUGUCUGAGAGACAAGAACUGUUCUGGUUCUUUUUCCACACUGGGGACAGGAGGUGUGUCCUAAAGAAGUAUACUGGUCCCUGCAUGAGGCCAGGCACUGUCUGCAGGACAGGUGUCCACAGCGGUAAGAGACUGGAUCCUUCAGGACGUCCUGACAUGAAAAACAUCUGGACAGCUGCUCCUCCACAGAGUCACAUCUCUGUGUCUCUCUGUGGAAAUAAAGAACAUUUAUUUUCUUUAUCAUUUCAUGUUUGAAAGAUACAGAAUAAGAAUCAUUUAUUAAACCAGAGUUUCUGACCUCACUCUUUUCUCUAACAUAAAACAAUCUCCUGUAAAAUAUUCAGCUGCUGCUGCCUGAAAGUGUGGAGACAGGAGAAAAACUAAACUGCGAUUUUUGAGGGUGGAGAGAUUUUCUCCACCAAUUCUACAGUUUUUUUAUCAAAAGAUCAAACAGGAAUGAUUUCUUCAUCGGUCUUCUGGUAUUUUGUGACCAACAGACUGUUUUCUGGGGUCUAUACACCACAGUCCAAAGACUUACAGACUCAAAACGUCUCAGACGCCGGAACCAAAUCAGAAAAUACAGAGGUCAGAAUCCUUUUCAGAUGCUGUUUUAUACGACCUUCAUUUUUAUCAACAUGAUGAAUAAUAAGUAAAUCUGUGCUCAGUGACUUUUUCUUCACCAGCCCUUUAUCCAGGUUGGCAGGUUACAGAGGAAAAUCACUGUUUUGAGAGCAGAGAUCAUUUUUCUCACCAUGGUAGAAAACAGAGGGGUCAGAAUUUAAAGUUUUGUUUUUGAAACAUCAAUUGUUGUUGUUUGAGAGUUUGGUGGUUGAAAAGUGUUUCUCUUACUGUGAAUCUGAGGGUCCUGGUUCUUUCCUGAACUCCAGGAUAAUCUCUUUAGACCAGUCACUCUUCAUAGACAGACAGUCGGACAUAACAGACAUUGCUCUGUACUCCUCUGAGGGUCCUGGUUCUUUACUGAAGUUUAGAGGAAUUCCUUUAGAUACGUCACUCUUCAUAGACAGACAGCUGGACGGAAUAGACUUUGCUCUGCACUCCUCUGAGGGUCCUGGUUCUUUCCUGAACUCCAGGAUAAAAUCUUUAGAACAGUCACUCUUCAUAGACAGACAGUCUGACAUGACAGACUCUGCUCUGUCCUCCUCUUCCUCGACACAAACACUCAUCUUCUCCAUCUGAUGUUGAGCAACUUUUUGGAAGAUGAAACCGAGUUAUACAACCUGAGGACAAAGUAGACAAACAGGUGAGAUACAAACAGGAGGACAGUGUUCAGAAAUAGAAGUAGACUCGUGGACAGGAGGCCUUAAAGAGACAGCAGCUAAAAUGAAGUGUUUUAGGAGGAGGCUGAAAUAAAGAUAUUUUAAUACACCAGAGUGAGAAACAGGAGACUAAACUGAAAAUCAUGUAAAGAUAUUAAAGAGGAAUCAGAAAGAAAGUAUACAGUCUGAAAUAAGCUUAAUACCCCUCUUUAAGAGUUAUACAGGGUUUAAUCUGUACGCUACAGGGCCUCUCUCUGAUUCAUGGUCAAAACAACAACAGCUGUGAGGUCCCUGAAGUCUCAUAAAAAUUAAAGGGACUGGAUUAAAUUUGAAAUGAGAGGCUAAAUGAAAAGAAACUCAUUUUUGUUUUUACUAAAAAGACAAGUCUAAACAAGAAGGAGGAAGAACUGCACGUACGCAGUUUCCUGUAUCAAGAACUGAUCCAGCUCUUUGUCUGGUCAGGUUUCUGUGUUUUACAGUUUUUAAGUGUAUUAGUCAGUAAAUCAUUUUUCAUUAACAGAUGAUACAGAUAAAGACUUUGACGUUAGAAAACCCAGAGUAAACACUCACCCUGUCUCCUCGUCCUCUCCUCUCUCUGCUCUGUUCUUUUCUCAAUGGAGUCUGUUCUUGAGUUUACUUUCACUUUCACAGUGACUCUUUCCACUGAAACCUAAACCACCAGAUCACAGAUUCUUCUUCUCAUGACAUUUACUGACAGUUUUUGAUCAUCUUUUAAGUUCAGUAUUCUUGACAAUCAUCUUCCUCUCCUGUGUCAAAAUUAAACAAGUUCACUCAAACAGGAACUUGUUUGGUUGAGUCUCAGUUUAUUGUUUACACAGCAGCUCCACCUGCUGGUCAAACCAACAAACUACAGAUGAGUGCUUCUCUACCUCCAGCUCUGUCUUAAGGUUGUCAAUGUCGCUCUCUCUUCAUGAUGCUCAUUUAACAUUACCACACAUUUAAUUAAUUAUAAUCCUAGAAAAAACUAAAAUAAGUUAAAAAGCGCAGAACAGCAGCUAAUUUUGAUAAGACCAUGCAAACUUAAAGCGAGAGGUCUUUUACCAUCUCCUACGAAUUUUUCAGAUGAAACAAGAAAAGAAAUCACCAAUACUUUGCAAGAUGCAGGAGCUUUCCUGACAAGUUACAAGAUUUUAAUAACAAUUUCUUGUUUGACUUGUUUCUUUGGCUAACUUGGCUGUCAAAGAAAACGAAUGAACUAUCAUUAACCAGCAACAAACUACCAUAAAAUUUUCAUUAAAAAAACUGUGAAUAACUUAUUACGAUGUCCCGUACAACCGAACACUCAGAGUUGAGAAGAAGGAAAGCAAGACAGCCAUUGUGGAACAGAUAACGACGUGUCGCAACCACUUGUUUAAGAGUCCUUACAUGAAUAUAUGCACAUAACACGACAAAUCCCCACCAUCCAGCUUAACAUGGAAAAUGAUUAAAUGAACACAAACGUUUGCGUAAAGAAAAUAAGGAACAACUUAUGUUUUUGAUUCAGCAGUUAAUAAAUCAUCAGAUUAUUUUCAUUUUGGAGGGAUGGGAUCAGGAAGGUCUCUGAAAACAAACCGAUCUUCUCUGUGGGAUAGAAAAGCUUUGGAGUUUUUUUGUUCAAGAAUCUUUGCUUUGACAAAUUAUAUUUCACACAUUUUACUUUUACAUUCAGGUCUCAUUUAUGGUUUAAUGAUUGUGUUUGUACAUCCAAACAGGAGGGAAUCGAUUAUUGAUGAGCUCAAAGAUUAUAUGAGAACAAAAACAUGUACAGGGAUGUAGUGGAGAAUCCAGCAUAAACUCAGUAAAACAAUGCACAGGAGACAGGAUGAGAUCUGAAGCACAGCCUGGGUGUCUUUUAUUGUACAGAUGUAGAAAUCAGUAAAGAUGACAGAGUUUUGACCAAAACCAAAGAAAGCUCCCUAAGCCUUUCGUCUACUCCCUUUGAAACUGCUUGUACCUCUGAUAUGUGUGUGUGUGUGUGUGUAUGAGUCUUUCAUCAUCAUGGGUACAUCAUAUCUAUCCUCCAGGAGGCUACCCAUGACGACGUGUUGUACUGUUCUGAAACUCAACACUUUGUUUAGAUUAGUCUUAACUCUCCCAGAUUUUAGCUCUAAAUGUUCUGACAGACAGAAAGUUUUGGUCCCUGAAAAACAGCCUUAAUCAGAACUUCUGACUGAUCUACUGUCACACAUGGUAUCAACUCCUGCUGCAGAAGUCUGUGGGAAUACAUCAACUCCACCGCUUUAUAUUUCCACUAGGUGGCGCUGCAUCAUGGGGGUGGGUGAAUUUAUGAUCAUGUUUCCAUAAACAAAACAAACCUGUUCAGACUGUUUGAUCCCAGAAUAUGAGGGAAAAUAUCAAAUAUCCAGAGUCCAGGUCCUGAGCUGAUCUCAGAGCAGGUCAAAGUGCAGCUCCCAGAGUCCUCUCCGUCCGCUGUGAUUGGUCAGUCAGUCUCUCAGUAACAUGGCCAAGUCAGAGACUCAUCCUCACUACUGCUGCCUUCACCUCUCUGAU